This is a long non-coding RNA of Lolium rigidum, 2793 nucleotides long. RefSeq lists it as uncharacterized. The record is from RefSeq and is a predicted model, not a curated record. Lineage: Eukaryota; Viridiplantae; Streptophyta; Magnoliopsida; Poales; Poaceae. The transcript is spliced from 4 exons.
GCCGCGCCGGAGCCUUUUCCCUUCCAAGGGUCGGUGCCCUCCUCUUUCCUGGCCGGUGAGUUCUUGGCUGUUCAAAUCCUUUAUCGCGAGCGUCUUCGUUGCCAAUGCUUGGCGUGGUGACUCCCUUCCCUAUUUUGUAGAGAGAGAUAUAGGUCAGAAAUGAUCCCCAAUAUGUACAUCCGUUCUAAUCUUUCCUGGCAUAAAUUUCAUUAGCUCCAUGAGUUAGCACGCAAGAUAUCCACGUGAGAUUUGUUUCCGCUGAUACCCAAUUUUGCAUCAGGAAAGCCAACUCAUAGAUUUUGGUCUGGUAGCUAGCAGUUUAUGUCUUGCGUCAGGUUGGACAUUGGACCUCCGGUAAGAUGGCCUACCAAUUAACUCCAUCUAUUUUCUUCUACCAUAUAGCUAGGCAAAAGUUUCUUUGUUAUACAAUCGGAUUACAUGCUGUGCAGAUAAAAGUAUGGUGGACUUACUAAGAGAUGUUCAGUAUAUAUGGACUCCAGUUAUGGUUCUGUUAUUUAUUUAUGCACACCUUACGUUUCAUAAAUUGAUUGAAGGAAUUGUAUGGAGGGUGGCCGCGUGGUGUUCUUCGCGGACACCGGACAGAAUAAGCUAAGCUGUUCAUUGAGCGGGCAUUGUCUCAGUAACAAAGCUUGCAUCACAUAGUGAUACAUGAGAGAAUGUACAUCGUCAACAUGUAAGGGAGAUGGUUAAGGAAAUAGUACUGACUGUAACUGAAGUUGGAAGACUGGACUAUAAUGUUUUCCUUGACGUGAAGACAAUAGAGGGGAUGUAUGAAAUUAGUCCGAGUCUAAUGGAGGCUUUAUCGGUCAUCAAACUCCACUGAAUCGCACGAGAUCUCAGCUGCACCCGCCGCUGCGAGCUUUCUAUAGAAAUUUGCUGGAAGAGGACUCCAAGAUAUUCACAAUGAAUAAAUGAUAUGAGAGGAUGCUGCCACGGCAAAUACUGGUCCCUUACCCCUUAUCCAACAUUUUCAAAGCUGGUAUGUUCGUCCAUUGCUCAUUGCAAGAACGCCCCAUAUUUUGCCAUCAUGUGGUGUUAGUUUUGUUUUGUUUACGGUAGAUCUCUGAAUUUUACGAUGCCACCUGCAAAAUGGUUGAACAGUUUCAUGAAUUCAAUCUUUGUCAACAUAUAUAUGGGAGUAGCAAAUUCAAUCUUUGUCAGUAUAUGCACCAAAUACAUUCAUGCCACCCACAUGAUUUUUUGGCUAAAAGUUUAGAAACUGAUUAUUCAGAUCUAAAAGAAUGCCAUGAGCGUAAUUUUUGGGUAGUGUAUAAGUAUCACCGUGGGUGAAACUACUUUCCAUGUUACCAGGUUCAACCAGUGAGCCGAAGUGUGGUGCUUUUGAGUUUCAGGGGUCCCAAGCCAGCUUGUGCUUCUGAUGAUCCAUACUUCCGGGGCGACGUCGGUAUGCCUUGCAGUUCGCAGUGCUGGGACUGCUAUGCCAACUCCUGGCGUGCAUCCUUAUAUUUCAGAUAUCUUUCUUUCUAGGAUUUGUUGGUACUUUGUCUCAACAUUGAGUUUGAUCCAUGCAGAACAAAUAGGUAGCAAAAAGGUAGUGUAUACUAUAUCCGCACACCAUAAGUUCCGUGUGGUUUAUUUGUAUUUCACAUCUUCUGAAGUUCAUAAAAGUAUUCAUGGUUAGUAGUGGCUUGCUGAAUUGUCUAUCCUAAAGUUAUGCUCAUCGGCUCAUAGUAAGCUGUUCAGUUGUUCGUAUUCAGGUAACUUGCUUAUAUUUUGUUUUUGCUAGGUUGACCAUAACGCCGUUCGGGAUUUAUUUUGCACCGCUGGCGUUUCCAUUGUGACAGUUGGAGAUUAGGUGGUGACGGUGUCUUCAUCUAAAGAUAUGCUGGGCCUACUUUGUGAUCAAAGAGAAGAAAGAUAAAAAGGUAGCACAACACGCACACACCCCAAAAGAUCAAUCUAAUGAUCGAAGCAGACGACACAUUUUAAUUGCUCCAACGAUUUGUCAUCUAGCAUGUUGUGUUCUUCACUUAUUCUAUAGAAACGCCAAAGAUUUCUACAUCCAUACAGUUGACAGUUGGUAUUCUCCAUACAAAACGCUAUUGUCGGUUUUGCCAAGUACAGGUAAGAAUACUCUAGCUCUCUUUGCUUAUUUCGCUUUGUUUCUUUCUGAUAUAAUAUUAUGUUAUUUGACAAGUGUUUUGGUUGCUACCGAAAGAUUCCUACCAUGGUAUGCCAUGAUCAAUUGCUUCUUUACUAAUUUGAUGUUCUUGACAAGAUCAAUUGCUUCUUUACUAAUUUGUUGUUCUUUCCCUGGGACCAUAUAAGUGUCGGAAUUGGUCUUCCCUCUAUUCAGUUCUUACAUUCAACUACUUUUACAUGGUGCACAAUCUAAAUUCUCACAGUGGAUCUACUAUUUAUACUCAGGACAAGCAUGAUGUAUGCUCCGCAAAAUCUGCAGCCUUGGGCGUGUCUUUACUGCACAUAUGCGACUGAAACCCUUUCUCAGUUUCAGAGCUUGGCAGCUGACACAGUGAUAUAAUCUAUUUGAGACAAACUUGCUAAUAUCUGCCAAAUCAACUGUAGAGUACGACUAAUUUUGGCAAUCACAGGCAUCAUCACUCUGAAUUUUCAGGUUUACCCCUGCACAGUACCUACUUCAACUGCAUAAUCUAUCUGAAAAAUGUAAAAUGUACAGUUAUCACAAAACAAAGUACUCAGCUAGCAUUAACAGGCUAGCCUUGCUGUUACAGUUAAGAGUUAGAUGGCAUUAGGCAUGUCUGAAUGGCCAGCAAUCCUAUAAUAUGUAUA